RNAcentral lists this ribosomal RNA (503 nucleotides) under Escherichia coli. RNAcentral's name for it is "partial 23S ribosomal RNA". It matches the Rfam family "Bacterial large subunit ribosomal RNA", at positions 2259 to 2761 of the family's 2925-position model. The record is from RNAcentral. RNAcentral also lists the same sequence under 4 other names. Lineage: Bacteria; Pseudomonadati; Pseudomonadota; Gammaproteobacteria; Enterobacterales; Enterobacteriaceae.
UGGUGGGUAGUUUGACUGGGGCGGUCUCCUCCUAAAGAGUAACGGAGGAGCACGAAGGUUGGCUAAUCCUGGUCGGACAUCAGGAGGUUAGUGCAAUGGCAUAAGCCAGCUUGACUGCGAGCGUGACGGCGCGAGCAGGUGCGAAAGCAGGUCAUAGUGAUCCGGUGGUUCUGAAUGGAAGGGCCAUCGCUCAACGGAUAAAAGGUACUCCGGGGAUAACAGGCUGAUACCGCCCAAGAGUUCAUAUCGACGGCGGUGUUUGGCACCUCGAUGUCGGCUCAUCACAUCCUGGGGCUGAAGUAGGUCCCAAGGGUAUGGCUGUUCGCCAUUUAAAGUGGUACGCGAGCUGGGUUUAGAACGUCGUGAGACAGUUCGGUCCCUAUCUGCCGUGGGCGCUGGAGAACUGAGGGGGGCUGCUCCUAGUACGAGAGGACCGGAGUGGACGCAUCACUGGUGUUCGGGUUGUCAUGCCAAUGGCACUGCCCGGUAGCUAAAUGCGGAAG